AAAAAUCAUCACAAGAAUAAAAACGUUAAAUGACCUAACCUCGGGCUAGCUGUGCUGUCAGGUCUAAGAGUCUGGCUUUGAGGGUUUUUUGUGUUUUGUUUUUUGGCAUUUCAAAUGUAUAUCCUGUCUUGUUUGAACCCUUGUUGCUUGUACAAACAAAAACACGUACUACUACCCUCCACAUUUUCCCCCCAAAUGAGAACGCAGCUGUCUCUGCAUGGCGAUUCCCUGCAUAGCGCUGAGAGAAUCAUGUAAUGUCUGUGAGUUCCUCGCAGAUUGGGAAAGAAUUCGGGAAAGGGUGUUCAUUGUCACAAAGUUGUUGCAUGGCUUUUUGGGCUCUCUGUACGCUCUGUUGUAUGAUUUCAUACUUGCUGCUAUUGAAUGAGCACAAAGAGACAUCAGAUUUUGGUUUAGGGUGUCCAUACCACAGUUACAGUAUAUUUAUACCACACAUACCUGUUGGGGUUUUUCUUUUGUUUGUUUGGGUUUUUUUGUCCCCCCAAUCUUUCUUUUUUCCCUCCCUGUGGCAGUUAAAAGACCAACAGCAUUACUCACCUUGCACUUGGUUUGUACACUUAAAAGGAAAAAAAAAUAUUUUGAAUAUGAUGCCUGCUGAACCAGGUGCCUUAAUCAGUUAUAUGAGAACACAAAUCUGCACCUUCUGUCAGUCUGGAGGGGGUUUCCCUACAGAAACCAGGGACUGGGUUUCCCAAAACCUAAACUUGAAGUUCAAUAAUGAAAUGAAAACCUCAUCUGAACCCUAAAUCAGUGCAUUUUAUAGAAUAGUCAACCUUUAGAGGCAGAUGAGAGCCGUUAAUCGUGUCUCGAUCGUAGAAUAGCCUUUCUGAAGAAGAGCAGAAAAGACAACCUGUAAAUUGAAUUGUUUUGGGAAACCUGGUUCUGUUUUGAACUCUUUCUCUGCCCACUAUGCCACGUUAUCGUGUAUUCUGCAUUGCUGCUGCUGCUGCUAUCACCGCUGGUGUGUCCGCGUAGAGAAGAGCAAACUUCCACUGUGUCUGAGACAGAGGGAGACUUGGGCCUGCUUUUUACCUAGACAAUUGCAAUGCAUUCUUCUUCUUCUAAGGUUUCGACACGGAGCACUCUGUUGCUGCCUUUUGAGACCUUGUCGAGACAGGAAAAAUAAAGAUCCCAAAUAAACGCGAACUUUCCAUUUCUUAACUUUGCUAUUAUGAAGUGCCAGACCCUCCUUGAAGUCAGUGUUGGCACUGAGUCGCAGGUUGCGAAUGAAGCGACAAACUGAGCAUGGAGGUACACUGUGGUGCUAAUCUGUCAGUGGCUGGGUGCUAACAUGGCUGUGUUAAAUAGCUGUAUUAGCCAUAUUAUUCCUUCUGUUGAUGACUCUGGUCAGUCUUGUGUUUCUGACUUCUGACCUGCUGUAUGCUGAUAUAGCGAGGUAUAAUUCUGCUGCUGCUGCUUUGCUGAUGAAUGUAGACUAGUCUUCCUCAGCAGGAUCAUACAGACAGACGAGUGUUUGGCAGAGCUUUUCCUGUUGUCUCAACAGAGGGAGACUCUUUGUCAUCAGGAUCCAGAAAGAUCAUGAAUGUUGUAUCUUUUAAUGGCCGCUGUCCUGCUUGUGUGUUUCAAUCUUUUUUUUUUUUUUAUUAAUAUUAUGGUUUGAUAUUUAUGCUCUGACUCUAUCAAAUGUUGCACUUUUUUCCCUAAAUUAUAUUUUAUUGUCAUUUUCUCUGAUCCCAGUGUUCUUGCCAUUUCUUUAUUUAUUUGUUUGGUCCUGUAAUUUAACAAUGCAAGGAGACAAUGAUUGAAGCUAGACUUUAAAGCUUUCCACUGAAGCAGUCUUUACCACAAGUCAGAGACUUGUCAUGAGAUUCACAGAUCUUAAUCAAAGUCACAAUGAAACUAGAAACUGUUCAUACAAAAAGUAUAUAUAGAUUUUUUUGACAAAGAUCUAAUUAGUAUAGAAGAGAAUUAGGACCACUGGAAAAAAUCUUCAAGUUUUGACUUUUUUCUUAAAAAAAAAAAGGCUGAAAUCUGAGAUUUAAAAUCAAAAUCAUGAGAAAAAAGUCUGGGGAAAAAAAAAACUGGGAAGUAUAUUUCAAUUUUUUCCCUCAACCUAUUCUGUAAAUAGCUUUUACGUACGUACCUGUAAUAGCAUCUAGAGAUGUAAAUGGCCACUAACUAAUACUCAGUUAGAGAUAAAUAAAUUUGUUUACAAUUAGCUCACCUAUCACAAAUUGGAAAAUAGACACUUUAACAUAACGAUUACAAAACUUAAAAAAAGUAAAAUGUGAAUCGUCCUAUAUUAGUUAUUACUUACUAAUAUUUACUCUUUUUGCGCAAAUAGAGUUAUGAUUGGCGUGACUGAGCUUCAUGAGGUAUACUCUACUGACAUGUACCCAGACAUCCUCUUGCAUAAUAGUCUAAUAAUGACUCCCUCCAUUAAAGGAGCAUUGCAACCAUUUUUAAGUGGUAGAUGAUUUGUUUUCUUACUAUAACUUAGCUGAGAAGUUUGAUGUCACUGCAGCCAGCAGCCAGUUAGCACAAAUACUGGAAACAGGAGACAAAGUAGGGCGGUUCUGCCAGCACUUUAUAGUCACAAAUGCAUGUUUGUUUUUUUAGGUGAUAUAGAUAUAUACGGGGACUCUCUUUGGCCAGUCAACCAAAAGAGACUUCAGAUGUUUGCUGUGAUGAGAGAUGGAGACUUAAAAUGAAACGUUAAGCAGAUGUAAGACUGAAGAUGGUCUAAUGAGAUAAAAAUAAUUAAUUAUUUUCUAAGUAAACAGGUCCGAGUCAGACUGUAGUUUCAUUGUGAGUUUGAAUUAUCGCUGUCUGUGAGGCCAAUGAAGCGGAAGUUUAAUAAGUCCUGAGAAAAGCUCGCUGGGUCACCACACUGAACCUUGCCUUCAGGUGACUCUUUGGUCAUGACUCUGGGCUGAGGUUCAGGUGCUCCACCACCACGGAGCUGAGGUCAGGAGUUGGCUUGCUUGCGGUCUCUAACUUUUGGUGGGGAAAUUGAAAAUUUAGUUUUAAGGAAGUCAAACUUUACCACUGCGCCAGAGAUGUUUUGCCCCUUCUAGGUGCUUUUUUAAUUUUUAUUUUUUUCAGAAGGGCUUUGGUUCGCAGUUGUCUUGUCAGGGAACCCCUGAGAUUAGCCAGGGGCCACUAAAGGCUGGUGGGCAGAGACCCCUCACCUUCCCCUUUGCAAUGAAUGAUGGGGAAGGGUUAAUCUCCUCUUCCGGCAGACUGAUUCAAGCAAACAACCACCCACACUUAAUAAUAAUAAUAAAAAAGAAAACCCCUCUUUCUAUUUCUACACACGUCCAACUCAUCAUCCAAACACUGCAAUGAUUUACAUCUCCUUCCAGACUUGCCAAAAUGCAUGGAGCAAGAGACAUUUACCGAAAAAAGACGACAUUUAUCUUAAAGCAUCUGUUUGGUUACUAUUCUCUCUUUAUAAAUUUUAAUAAUGACAGACAGACGGAGGAUUAUAAUAGGAAAUCCGUACAAGUCCAAACAUGUAGAGGAUGUGGAAGGUAUCGGCCAUACUGAGCUCCACAGCUACAUGCCAUUGUUACGAUGCUUCUGGUCUUGUAUGGUAUUUGACUCGAUCAACAGCAUGGGAUCUUUCUGUAGUUAGUCCUGUGUGUGUUCCUCUCCCCAGUCUCAGUAGGAGGGCUGUACUUCAUUGCUAAGUGCUCUAUAAUAGAUCUCUUGGUGAUUAUAAUUUCAUAAAGAAGCAAAACCUGCAGAAAAAGUGUAUCCUGCUGAAACUAACUUGAUCCUCUCUUUAGCAAUGACGUCUAUAUUUGUAGUUCACAUAUAUGCCUGUUCAAAUACAAUAUCUUGACAGUUGUUAUAUUUAUGUUGUGUAAUAAAUGUUGUGCUGGGUUUAUACUUUUGUUUUGACUAACUUUUUGUUUAACGUUGUAUUUUUUUUUUAUUUCUCUUCUUGGAGGCACAGUUGGUGGCUUUAUGCACAGGCAUGGAAAAGUUAAAGACAUUUAUUUUAUUAUUAUUAUUUUUUUGGUUUGUACUGUAACAGCCCAAUUCUCUUUCAGAGCUUCUGACAGUUUUUGUCUCUGGCUGCUCGACAUUCUGCAGACACCUGCCCUGAAUCUCUGUUGUGUUAUUGUGCCUCUCUCUUUAUUUUCUGUUCUUCUUUUUUUUUUUUUUUUUAAAUCGUUUUUCUCUGUUGUAUCAACCAGGAGUUGGUACCACAGCUCUGCUUGUAACCACGUUAGUCUGAUUAUGUUUAUUGAUUUUAAUAUCAAAACAAUAAAACCAUUAGCACCCCA
Oreochromis aureus is the source of this 4274-nucleotide long non-coding RNA. Lineage: Eukaryota; Metazoa; Chordata; Actinopteri; Cichliformes; Cichlidae. The record is from Ensembl.